CUCAUUUAAGGGCCGGCAGUGGAAGCAAAAACAUCUGUGUACUCGAGUCCUCCUGAAGAGAAUCCUUGUCUUGGCCUGAGUAGAGAGAGCACUUGCAGAACUGGUAGCUGUUUCCUGUUGAUUGUGCUUCGUGAAAUCAGUUCCUAUACAUCUUCAACUGUGCGCUGUCUUUAUCUUGAACUGAAGUUCCAGGUCAUUCCUAUGAUACCCUGUUGCAUGAGAGAGAAAAUGAAUUUAAAAAACUCCUGGAGAAUCUCAGUUUAUGACAGAAGUCUGGCUUCCUUAAAGCAACAGCUGUCUUAUCAGAAUGACAGCCUCGGGGAGCUCUACAGCCCCUUUGUUUUCAUGGAUUGACUGUGACCCUCUCGCUACAAAUUACUCUGGAAGACAGUUUGCCAAGUGAUUUUUAAGUGAUAUAGGAGAGGAGCUGAGAAUAUCGUGCAUUGAUUUCUUACUCAAAGAAAGAUUGUCUUAUGCAACAUGGCAAAAAUCUAUGUACCCAUCUUUUACAGAGCUAAUUGUGAAGGUAAUGAUUUUUUUUUUGGAAGCCCAACUGAAAGUCUAAAAUCAUAGCUCCCCUUAUUCACGUAACAAGAUAAGAGAUGAUGUGCAGACAAUAUGCCAUAGAUUAUUUUGCUAGGUGAUAACAAAAAGCAAUAUGUUCAGAGGACAUAUUGCUUAAUUUUAAAGAAGGUAGCUAAAUGUCUGAAUCUUUCUUCAUAAUUCUCCCUGAACGGUAAUAGUAGAGAAUUUAUCACAUAGAAGUAUUCUAGUUUCACUAUUCAUUUCUUUCCUGCUUUACAUCUUUAAGUUUGAGGUUGAUACCUGAUUAAAACAUUUCUCUCACACCAGAGAAGUUUCCAAUUAAAAAAAAAAAAAAAAAUUCCUUAGCAAAAUCACAGCAAGUAGCAGGGUGUAUUUUCCACCAGAUACUGACAUCUGAAGUCGUUAUAGGUUACAAGGAUAAUUAUAGUCCAUUUGCAUAGACUGAUGCCGAGUCUUUUUACAAUAAAAGCAGGAAAGGAUUAGUAUGCUUAUUCACGGUCCCAGCAUAUUGUGCGCUAGAUUCUUGAAAUAACAAUCUGUUGUCUCCCCGCAUUGCUGCCCCCUUCAUUGUAUGUUUUCUGGCUUGAAAAAAUUUAAGUAUAAACUUGCUUUUG
Molecule: long non-coding RNA, 1160 nt
Filed under: Gallus gallus (chicken)
Lineage: Eukaryota; Metazoa; Chordata; Aves; Galliformes; Phasianidae
Description: lncRNA (ENSGALG00010004931.1)
Source: RNAcentral